This 395-nucleotide ribosomal RNA is filed under the name uncultured eukaryote. Its description in RNAcentral is "partial 18S ribosomal RNA". It matches the Rfam family "Eukaryotic small subunit ribosomal RNA", at positions 592 to 976 of the family's 1831-position model. The record is from RNAcentral.
CAAUAGCGUAUAUUAAAGUUGUUGCAGUUAAAAAGCUCGUAGUUGGAUUUCUGAAUUGAAUAUCCGGUCCGCUCGUCUCUGAUGAGUGCGUACUUAUGGAUAUUGGAUUCAUUUUUUGUGAGGACAUUUAUCUGUCAUUAAGUUGAUGGAUUUAUAGACUUGCAUCGUUUACUGUGAAAAAAUUAGAGUGUUUAAAGCAGGCGUUCGCCCAUUUGAAUACAUUAGCAUGGAAUAAUAAGAUAUGACUUUGGUGGUCUAUUUUGUUGGUUUGCACACCAGAGUAAUGAUUAAUAGGGACAGUUGGGGGUAUUCAUAUUUCAACGUCAGAGGUGAAAUUCUUAGAUCGUUGAAAGAUGACCUUAGGCGAAAGCAUUUACCAUGGAUGUUCUCAUUAA